CGCCGUCAGUGCUUCCUUCUGUUCCAAUAGGGCGCCGUUCUUUGCUUCUUCCUCUUUUGGCUUUUUUGUUUUUCUUCGCAUCGUUCUCUUUCACGCCGGUCGCAGUAACGACGUCGCCGAUGCGUUUCUGUCGUCGCUUCCUCCGUCGACGAUCGUGCCCUGCAAUCAGCCAAAGCUAAUCUCACGGAUAGCAUGGCCGAGCGGGUGAUAGUGCUUCUUUGAUCUCGCCCUUGUAGCUGAUUUUAUAAUCGUACUUUGAUUAUUGACGCUGGUUGCAGCGGCGACGUCGCCGAUCCUCUUCUGUCGUCGGUUCCUCCGUCGACGAUCGGGUCCUGCAAUCAGCCAAAGCUCUAACUGGUUUUCAUUGCCGGACGUUUCUCGUAGAGUUUAUUGAUUCGAUUGGAUCAACUUGACGACUUGAUAUCAGCGGUGUAGAUCAAGUGAUGAUGUAGCUUUAUAGGAGCACAGAGGGCUCUAGAACAUGGAGCAUAAGAUUGAAGUGUGAUUGUUGAGCUUGUUGCCUCAAAACUGCCUUGGAUCAGGUCUCACGGAGAAGCUUGAGCUUGAUGGACUGCUAGACGAGUAGUUGACCAUAUGAAAAAUAUUAGAAUCUUGAGAAAUAAAAACAGCGACGAAUAAAAUCUGAAUAAAUUUGGAUCAUAAUCAGUCUCCACAUCUUAAAAUGGACAUCUGAAGGUUGUAUUUAAUUAUAUUUUCAUAAUGUAAUUUAUUUCACAAAUAUUUAUUAA
Molecule: long non-coding RNA, 749 nt
Organism: Zingiber officinale
Lineage: Eukaryota; Viridiplantae; Streptophyta; Magnoliopsida; Zingiberales; Zingiberaceae
Exons: 2
Source: RefSeq, a predicted model, not a curated record